This 886-nucleotide ribosomal RNA is filed under the name Tuber texense. Its description in RNAcentral is "LSU rRNA". It matches the Rfam family "Eukaryotic large subunit ribosomal RNA", at positions 51 to 952 of the family's 3401-position model. Lineage: Eukaryota; Fungi; Ascomycota; Pezizomycetes; Pezizales; Tuberaceae. The record is from RNAcentral.
AAAUUGAAAAAGAACAACAGGUAUUGCCUUAGUAACGGCGAGUGAAGCGGCAAAAGCUCAAAUUUGAAAUCUGACGCUACUGGAGUCCGAGUUGUAAUUUGGAGAGGUAUCUUCUGGAGGGGCCCAGCCUAUGUUCCUUGGAACAGGACAUCGCAAAAGGGUGAGAAUCCCGUUCAUGGCUGGAUGUACCCUUUACUAGGUAGUGCCUUCUACGAGUCGAGUUGUUUGGGAAUGCAGCUCAAAAUGGGUGGUAAAUUUCAUCUAAAGCUAAAUAUUGGCGAGAGACCGAUAGCGCACAAGUAGAGUGAUCGAAAGAUGAAAAGCACUUUGAAAAUAGAGUCAAACAGUACGUGAAAUUGUUGAAAGGGAAGCGCUUGAGACCAGACUCAGCCUUUGGCAAACAACUGUCCUUCUGGGCGGUGCACUUGCCCUUGGCUGGGCCAGCAUCAGUUGGGAUGGCAGGAUAAAGGCCCGGGGAAUGUGACUCCAUUCAGGAGUGUUAUAGCUCUGGGUGCCAUGCUACCUGUCCUGACUGUGGACCGCGCUUUGGCUAGGAUGCUGGCAUAAUGGUCUUCAGCGGCCCGUCUUGAAACACGGACCAAGGAGUCUAACAUCUAUGCAAGUGUUUGGGCUAAAGACCCUUCCGCGUAAUGAAAGUGAACGGAGGUGGGAAUCCUGUAAGGGGCGCACCAUCGACCGAUCCUGAUGUCUUCGGAUGGAUUUGAGUAGGAGCAUAGCUGUUGGGACCCGAAAGAUGGUGAACUAUGCCUGAAUAGGGUGAAGCCAGAGGAAACUCUGGUGGAGGCUCGCAGCGGUUCUGACGUGCAAAUCGAUCGUCAAAUUUGGGCAUAGGGGCGAAAGACUAAUCGAACCCAUUCAAGUGCCC